This is a long non-coding RNA of Clupea harengus (Atlantic herring), 706 nucleotides long. The record is from Ensembl. NCBI's taxonomy places the organism in Eukaryota, Metazoa, Chordata, Actinopteri, Clupeiformes, Clupeidae.
CAGGCGUGCACACGUGUGGGGAUGAUCGGCGGUGGCGGCGACGGUGGCGGAGGCAGUGGCGGCUAAAUAGAGGAGGAUUGUCGUGAACAAGGCCUGUGCCUCACGCUCCUAACAGCUGCCGGCUACCGAGGCGAAAUGAAAAAGGGGGACAGGAGUGGGAAAAAGUUUAAUGUGCUGGCUCCCAUCACACAAAUGCACUGUGUUCCCCAUAACUCUGCCAAGGCCGUCUCUGCCCACACCAGGAAAUGAGAGAGUGAGAGAAAAAUGGCGUGCUGAGACGCAAGAUGGCGGGAAGUAAAAUCGCCCGCGGUAAUGUGAUGGCCGCAUUGUGACUGGAAUAGUGAGCAUUACCAACCUAACACCAGGACAAUGCCAAUCAAGAUGGCGAGAGAAAAAAAGCAGAGGAGCUUCCAAUUAUGUCCAGCAUGUCUGAGCGCUCUCUCCCGCCUGCUUCCGGAGGGGUCCCGUGGUGCGGGCCGAGCUUGUCUGACAGGAGAGCAGCACGCUGUGGAUUAAGACACUCGACACACUCCCGUGUCUUCUGUCUCUCGGCCCCGGCGGCCCGGGCGACGUGACUAGCGUAACAGCCCCGGAUCUCUCAAUCCAACUAUCAGACAUAAUUGUCAGCGAGUGUGGAGGGGGAUCACAGAGGCGCUGAGAGGAGUGGGAAAGCAACAGUGGCCUUCAAAGUAGCUAAUGAAGGGCG